GGCCGGAUGGUGUAGUUGGUUAUCACGUAUCCUUUACACGGAUAAGGCCCAGGGUUCGAACCCCUGUCUGGUCA
This is a transfer RNA of Aspergillus oryzae RIB40, 74 nucleotides long. It matches the Rfam family "tRNA". Rfam says of the family: Transfer RNA (tRNA) molecules are approximately 80 nucleotides in length. Their secondary structure includes four short double-helical elements and three loops (D, anti-codon, and T loops). The record is from Rfam. NCBI's taxonomy places the organism in Eukaryota, Fungi, Ascomycota, Eurotiomycetes, Eurotiales, Aspergillaceae.